GGCGGCGUGCCUAAUACAUGCAAGUCGAACGAGUUCUGAUUAUUGAAAGGUGCUUGCAUCUUGAUUUAAUUUUGAACGAGUGGCGGACGGGUGAGUAACACGUGGGUAACCUGCCCUUAAGUGGGGGAUAACAUUUGGAAACAGAUGCUAAUACCGCAUAAAUCCAAGAACCGCAUGGUUCUUGGCUGAAAGAUGGCGUAAGCUAUCGCUUUUGGAUGGACCCGCGGCGUAUUAGCUAGUUGGUGAGGUAACGGCUCACCAAGGCAAUGAUACGUAGCCGAACUGAGAGGUUGAUCGGCCACAUUGGGACUGAGACACGGCCCAAACUCCUACGGGAGGCAGCAGUAGGGAAUCUUCCACAAUGGACGCAAGUCUGAUGGAGCAACGCCGCGUGAGUGAAGAAGGCUUUCGGGUCGUAAAACUCUGUUGUUGGAGAAGAAUGGUCGGCAGAGUAACUGUUGUCGGCGUGACGGUAUCCAACCAGAAAGCCACGGCUAACUACGUGCCAGCAGCCGCGGUAAUACGUAGGUGGCAAGCGUUAUCCGGAUUUAUUGGGCGUAAAGCGAGCGCAGGCGGUUUUUUAAGUCUGAUGUGAAAGCCCUCGGCUUAACCGAGGAAGUGCAUCGGAAACUGGGAAACUUGAGUGCAGAAGAGGACAGUGGAACUCCAUGUGUAGCGGUGAAAUGCGUAGAUAUAUGGAAGAACACCAGUGGCGAAGGCGGCUGUCUGGUCUGUAACUGACGCUGAGGCUCGAAAGCAUGGGUAGCGAACAGGAUUAGAUACCCUGGUAGUCCAUGCCGUAAACGAUGAAUGCUAGGUGUUGGAGGGUUUCCGCCCUUCAGUGCCGCAGCUAACGCAUUAAGCAUUCCGCCUGGGGAGUACGACCGCAAGGUUGAAACUCAAAGGAAUUGACGGGGGCCCGCACAAGCGGUGGAGCAUGUGGUUUAAUUCGAAGCAACGCGAAGAACCUUACCAGGUCUUGACAUCUUUUGAUCACCUGAGAGAUCAGGUUUCCCCUUCGGGGGCAAAAUGACAGGUGGUGCAUGGUUGUCGUCAGCUCGUGUCGUGAGAUGUUGGGUUAAGUCCCGCAACGAGCGCAACCCUUAUGACUAGUUGCCAGCAUUUAGUUGGGCACUCUAGUAAGACUGCCGGUGACAAACCGGAGGAAGGUGGGGAUGACGUCAAAUCAUCAUGCCCCUUAUGACCUGGGCUACACACGUGCUACAAUGGAUGGUACAACGAGUUGCGAGACCGCGAGGUCAAGCUAAUCUCUUAAAGCCAUUCUCAGUUCGGACUGUAGGCUGCAACUCGCCUACACGAAGUCGGAAUCGCUAGUAAUCGCGGAUCAGCACGCCGCGGUGAAUACGUUCCCGGGCCUUGUACACACCGCCCGUCACACCAUGAGAGUUUGUAACACCCGAAGCCGGUGGCGUAACCCUUUUAGGGAGCGAGCCGUCUAAGGUGGGACAAAUGAUUAGGGUG
Molecule: ribosomal RNA, 1482 nt
Filed under: uncultured organism
Description: SSU rRNA
Rfam family: Bacterial small subunit ribosomal RNA
Source: RNAcentral